ACGGCUCACUAACACUUGGAUAACCUACCCUUAGGACCGGUAUAACCCCGGGAAACUGGGGAUAAUCCCGGAUAGAUGAUUCUUUCUGCAAUGAUGUUUCAUUUAAAUGCUCCCGCGCCUGAGGAUGGGUCUGCGGCCGAUUAGGUUGUUGGUAGGUUAAUGCCUUACCAAGCCGGUGAUCGGGACGGGUUGUGAGAGCAAGACCCCGGAGAUGGAACCUGAUACAAGGUUCCAGGCCCUACGGGGCGCAGCACGCGCGAAACCUCCGCAAUGCGAGCAAUCGCGACGGGGGGACCCCAAGUGCCACUCUUAACGGGGUGGCUUUUCUUAAGUGUAAAAAGCUUUUGGAAUAAGGGCUGGGCAAGACCGGUGCCAGCCGCCGCGGUAACACCGGCAGCUCUAGUGGUAGCCAUUUUUAUUGGGCCUAAACCGUUCGUAGCCGGUUUGAUAAGUCUCUGGUGAAAUCCUAUAGCUUAACUGUGGGACUUGCUGGAGAUACUAUUAGACUUGAGGUCGGGAGAGGUUAGCGGUACUCCCAGGGUAGGGGUGAAAUCCUGUAAUCCUGGGAGGACCACCUGUGGCGAAGGCGGCUAACUGCAACGAACCUGACGGAGAGGGACGAAGGCCAGGGACGCGAACCGGAUUAUAUACCCGGGUAGACCUGGCCGUAACGAUGUGGACUUGGUGUUGGAAUGGCUUCGAGCUGCUCCAGUGACAGAGGGGUAAUCUGUUAAGUCCACCGACUGUGAACUACGGUCGGAGACUGAAAC
This 770-nucleotide ribosomal RNA is filed under the name uncultured archaeon. RNAcentral describes it as "bacterial SSU rRNA". It matches the Rfam family "Archaeal small subunit ribosomal RNA", at positions 85 to 855 of the family's 1478-position model. The record is from RNAcentral.